AUGGUUGUAUGUAGAGUACUGCUGGCUCCGGGGCUGUACUACUGCGGCCUGCGUGCCACCGGCGCCGCCUACGCCGUCAACUUCCUCAACCUCAUCCCCGUCGCCACCUUCAUCAUCGCUGCCGCGCUCCGGGUCGAGCAGAUCUCCCUCGCCGCCUGGCCCAGUGGGAUGAAGCUCCUCGGAGCGGUGGUGGGCGUCGUCGGCACCAUGGUCGCCAGCCUCUGCAAGGGCACCCCUCUGCUGCUGCCGCACCUCGGGAUGUCCGCCCACGCCAACCCCCACCUCGCCGCGCCCCACGGCGACGGCGACAUGUUCGUCAGCACGCUGUUCCUGUGCGGGAGCUGCGUCAGCUACGCGCUCUGGUUCGUCGUGCAGGCUAAGGUCGCCAAGGUGUUCCCGUACCGGUACUCGGCCACGGCGCUCACGUGCCUCGUGGGCUGCCUGCAGUCCACCCUGCCCGUCUCCGUGGCGAUCAUCCUCGCCCCCGCCGGCGACCUAUAUGGAUGGGCGCCCAUGUGGACGCUGCGCUGGGACCUGCAGCUGGCCACGGUGCUCUACUCCGGCGUGUUCAACACGGGCGUCACGUUCGUGCUCGUGUCCUGGGCGGUGGAGCGCCGGGGGCCGGUGUACCCGGCCAUGUUCAACUCCCUGUCGCUCGUCGCCACCACCGCCGUCGACGCCGUCGUGUUCGGCACCGACGCCUACCUCGGUGGCGUGCUGGGGGCGGCGCUCGUCGUCAUCGGACUCUGCGCGUUCCUGUGGGGCAAAAGCAAGGAGCUCGCGGCUGCCAAGGUGCACGGCGGGGCGGCGGUGGGCUCGCGGGAGACGGCGCUCGGGGAGGCGGCGGUGCGCUCGGGCGCCGCAUCAGGCGGCGGCAGCGAGGUGGGGAGGCGGCGCUGCGCUCCAGGGAUGCAGCAGCGAGGCGUCGAGGCGGCGGUGCCCUCGGGCGCCGCAUCAGGCGGCGACAUCGAAGCGGGGAGGCGGCGCUGCGCUCCGAGGAUGCAGCAGCGAGGCGUCGAGGCGUCGAGGCGGACCUGUGCUCGGGCUCCGCAUCAGGCGGCGGCAGCGAGGCAGGAGGCGCACGGGGAGAUGAAGGAGGAGAAAAUGGAGAAGAAGCGCAUCUCUGAAAUUCACAGUUUUAAACCCAAAGAGAUACAUCUAGACAAUGCUCGCAUGAGUGGUUCCAGUGUCAUAUACGCCAACAUGGCAAAUUGGCUACCAGGUUGGAGAUUUGGGAUCGGAUGCUGCUCCAAGAACGAGGGACCAAGGGAGCUGCACAGAUUUGGAACAACUUCCAGAACAAGCACCAAGCAUUUUGGUCAGGUUAACUUUGUUCUCCAAUAUAGGUGGCGUAUGUUUGUGCAAAAUGAUUAUGAAAGGACUUCUGGGCGCUCUCCCUGCAACGGGACUACUUGGGCGUCUCCGACGGCAGCAUGCUUACUGAGGCUGAAGACUAGCACGGUUGAUGAGCUAAAGUGGCGGGUGGAGCUGGACCGCAAGUCCAUGGCGCUCGUGUGGAAGGAGCUGGAGGAGGAGCGGAUCACGUUGGCGGUGGCGGCCGCCCAGGCCAUGGCCAUGAUCACCAAUCUGCAGGAGGAGAAGGUGGUGAUGCGGACGGAGGCGGCGCAAUAUCGAUUUGUCAUGGAGGAGCAGAGUGCGUAUGAUUGUGACGAGGCUGAGUGUCUGGCUGCUGAGAAGUGCUUUGUUUUGGGCAAGCCAAAAUACUUGAAAAAAAAGAGAGAAAAUACUCUUCCCAACCAAACAACCAGCUAUUUGUAA
RNAcentral lists this ribosomal RNA (1779 nucleotides) under Triticum aestivum (bread wheat). RNAcentral describes it as "partial small subunit ribosomal RNA". Lineage: Eukaryota; Viridiplantae; Streptophyta; Magnoliopsida; Poales; Poaceae. The record is from RNAcentral.